GACAACCUACCAUCCGAAUUUGAUAUUGUCAUACUUGGAACAGGUCUCACCGAGUCGGUCGUCGCAUCCGCCUCCUCCAGGGUGGGACAGUGGGUUUUUCAUCUAGACCGGAGGAAGUACUAUGCCGGGAACUGGGCCAGUUUUAACUUCAACGGCCUGCUGUCCUGGAUUGAGGAAUAUGAAAAGGAAACACAGAGCAAAGAGGCAGAGCCGGAAUGGAGGGACAAGCUGGAGACGGGAGAGGUGGCAGUGCCCAUCAGUGCAGACGACUCCUCCAUCACCAACCUCACGGUCUUUUGCUAUGCCAGGUAACAUGCCACCUCCACACAAGUAAAGCUCAAUUCCAAGAAUGUUACUUCAUACAUUAACUUCGAAUGUUAACAGUACCAUGGAUUAAUUGCAUUUGAACUGAGGACAGGUUCCAUUCUUACACAUCAAGAAACAAAGCAGUGUGAAUGUGUAGAUACGGCCAUAACAAUGCAGAAUAAAUAGACACAGCACAGAAAGACACUACAGGACAUUCAAGAAUUUGAAAAUGCCAGGCCUGCUUAAUGUUGGUGAGGAAGCUACUACCAAAAGCACAAGGGUUACGAAAAAUGACACAGGAUGGUCUGCAAUGAUGCCAGGUAUUACAAUAUUCCAUUUGUGUAAAUGUUUAAAUAUUUAAUAUUUAAUUUAAAUAUCAUAACAGGCUUUUUAUAACUUCUAUAACCCACUUUUUAUAGUGACAUACACGCCAUGAAUGUCUUGAUCAUCAGAGGUAACGGG
Clupea harengus (Atlantic herring) is the source of this 768-nucleotide long non-coding RNA. Lineage: Eukaryota; Metazoa; Chordata; Actinopteri; Clupeiformes; Clupeidae. The record is from Ensembl.